AGCUUGUUGGUGGGGUACUCGCCUACCAAGGCGACGACGGGUAGCCGGCCUGAGAGGGCGACCGGCCACACUGGGACUGAGACACGGCCCAGACUCCUACGGGAGGCAGCAGUGGGGAAUAUUGCACAAUGGGCGAAAGCCUGAUGCAGCGACGCCGCGUGAGGGAUGACGGCCUUCGGGUUGUAAACCUCUUUCAGCAGGGAAGAAGCGAAAGUGACGGUACCUGCAGAAGAAGCGCCGGCUAACUACGUGCCAGCAGCCGCGGUAAUACGUAGGGCGCAAGCGUUGUCCGGAAUUAUUGGGCGUAAAGAGCUCGUAGGCGGCUUGUCACGUCGGAUGUGAAAGCCCGGGGCUUAACCCCGGGUCUGCAUUCGAUACGGGCUAGCUAGAGUGUGGUAGGGGAGAUCGGAAUUCCUGGUGUAGCGGUGAAAUGCGCAGAUAUCAGGAGGAACACCGGUGGCGAAGGCGGAUCUCUGGGCCAUUACUGACGCUGAGGAGCGAAAGCGUGGGGAGCGAACAGGAUUAGAUACCCUGGUAGUCCACGCCGUAAACGUUGGGAACUAGGUGUUGGCGACAUUCCACGUCGUCGGUGCCGCAGCUAACGCAUUAAGUUCCCCGCG
RNAcentral lists this ribosomal RNA (620 nucleotides) under Streptomyces sp. LV5. RNAcentral's name for it is "bacterial SSU rRNA". It matches the Rfam family "Bacterial small subunit ribosomal RNA", at positions 243 to 873 of the family's 1533-position model. The record is from RNAcentral. Lineage: Bacteria; Bacillati; Actinomycetota; Actinomycetes; Kitasatosporales; Streptomycetaceae.